RNAcentral lists this small RNA (292 nucleotides) under Arabidopsis thaliana (thale cress). Its description in RNAcentral is "ATSL027130". Lineage: Eukaryota; Viridiplantae; Streptophyta; Magnoliopsida; Brassicales; Brassicaceae. The record is from RNAcentral.
GUGUGGACACCUAUUGCUAUUUCAACUGCUUUACCAUUGGAGUGGAACAUGUUAUCAUUAUGGUAGUCCUCAUUACUAUCUUUUAGCUUAUGUCAUUUUCUACUUUGUGCCAAUGUUCGGAUAGAUUAUUUAGCUAAGAAAAAUGAGCAUAUGGUGUUCAUUGGUUAUUUAUUUAUUGGCUCUCCCUAGUCAACAUAUACAUUUUUGCAGCCAUUUUGUGAAAUAAAUCUUGGAGUUGAGACUUAUUUACAAUGGCUGCCACUAACAUUUAUUAUUUAGUUUUACAAAAUUU